AGAGUUAUUAAAAAAGGGGGGGGUAAGGACUCAAGGAGAGGAAAUGCAACUGUCAGAAAUCGGGACCGCCAGAUUUCCUGGUGAACCUGCCUCUCUCUGAGAGGGUGUCUCACCGAACGGUAGCUAAGAUCUCACCAGAACCGCGCGGAAGUGAGGAGUCGCGGCCAAAGGCGCCCACUGGAGCCUCCUCUCUGGGCCGGACCCCAGCCCGAGCCGCGAAAGGAGCCCCCCGCCCGGACCACAGCUGCUGCAGGUGCCCAGACCUCCAGUCAUUGGGCAGCUCCUCAGAGGCAAGAAGUCAACACCAUGGCAACCCGACAAGCCUAUCAAAUCACCGGCUAGCGUGACAGCAGCUACACUGCAAGCAGAAGUGGGCUGGGCGGAAGAGCAGAGUGGCCACUCCCCUCAGGUACACAGUCUGGGAGUGGACAGCAACUGUCAGCAUCCACGUUCUGGCUACACAGA
RNAcentral lists this long non-coding RNA (465 nucleotides) under Ursus maritimus (polar bear). RNAcentral's name for it is "lncRNA (ENSUMAG00000014803.1)". Lineage: Eukaryota; Metazoa; Chordata; Mammalia; Carnivora; Ursidae. The record is from RNAcentral.